Molecule: ribosomal RNA, 381 nt
Filed under: uncultured bacterium
Lineage: Bacteria
Description: bacterial SSU rRNA
Rfam family: Bacterial small subunit ribosomal RNA
Source: RNAcentral
GAUGAACGCUGGCGGCGUGCUUAAUACAUGCAAGUCGAACGGGAAAUGUAGCAAUAUGUUUCUAGUGGCGAAUGGGUGCGUAACACGUGGGUGACGUGCCCCGAAGUGUGGAAUAACAGCUCGAAAGAGCUGCUAAUACCGCAUGUGGUUCUGGUGUUUAGAAAUCCAGAUCUAAAGCAGUAAUGCGCUUCGGGAGCGGCCUGCGGUCCAUCAGCUAGUUGGUAGGGUAAUGGCCUACCAAGGCUACGACGGAUAGGGGACCUGAGGAGGGUCGGCCCCCCACACUGGCACUGACACACGGGCCAGACGCCUACGGGUGGCAGCAGUAAGGAAUAUUGCACAAUGGGCGAAAGCCUGAUGCAGCAACGCCGCGUGCACGAU